GUCAGAAUGCUUCUGGGAGUCGGGGGGUGGGUGCCUUUCUGUUGCUAGCUUGUAGGAGAAGCUGGGCUGUAGGAAGUUUAUUUGCGGGGGGGUCUUAAAGACGCUGAAAGUACUGGCGGGCUUUGGUGGGGGUCUGGAAAAACCUCUCUGUACCUGUGACCGCGUUGCGUGGCGGGCGCUCCCCGGCCUCUCCUUUUUGACCGGUCCCGGGCGUUGCCCAGCCGCCAGUCCUCCUGCUCGGGUUUUGUAAGCAGGAGAGGGAUGCUUUUUACGUCUUCUUAAAGUACGGUUAAGUGCCCUUGCUUGAAGUAGUUGCUGGCAACAAGAACGUAGGGGUUACUCUUUGUUGGGCCUGAACUCGUGCUUUUUCUCUCAAAAGUUGAGCUUUUGAAAGGCAAAAAAGGCGUGGGGGAUGGGGGAGCUGUCGGUCUUAAGGAAGUUAAAGGUUAUUUCCUAAACAAAACAAGUCUCACUCCUAAAACCAGGGUAGUGGCUCAGUUGUGGCGGGAGAGCAGGGGCUGUAAAGUGUCCAAGUUUCUAGUCUCAUCUUUCAGUAGGAUGGGUACAAGCUUUCCCCUUGGGGCUCUGGGGGCUGGGAGGGUUGUAAAAGUGGGAGAAAGCAAAGUAUUUGGCGGGGUGCGGGCGGGUAGCUGAAUGUUGUUGUAAGUGGAAGAGGAAUGCUGUUGGCGUCUUUCUCUAAGCACGGUUAAGUGCUUUUUCUUGAAGUAGUUACUGGCAACAAGAACGUAAGGGUUACUCUUUGUUAGGCCUGAACUCGUGCUUUUUCUCAAAAGUUUAGCUUUUGAAAGGCAAAAGUGGGGGUGGGGGCGCUGCUGCUUUUAAGGAAGUUAAAGGUUAUUUCCUAAGAAAGCAAAACAAGCCCCACUUGUAAAACCCGGGUAGUGGCUCAGCUGGAGAGCAGGCGCUGUGAAGUGUACAAGUUUCUAGUCUCAUCUUUCAGUAGAAUGGGUACAAGCUUUCCCUCGGGGCUCUGGGGGUGGGAGGGUUGUAAAAGUGGGAGAAAGCAAAGUACGUGGGUGGGGGGUAGCUAAAUGUUGUUGUAAGCGGGAGAUGGAUGCUUUUGGCGUCUUUAAGCACGGUUAACUGCCCUUGAAGUAGUUGCUGGCAACAACGUAGGGGUUACUCUGCUGGGCCUGAACUUGUGCUGUUUCUCUCUCUCAAAAGUUAAGGUUUUUAAAAGGCAAAGGCGUGGGGAGAGGGGUAGGGGAGCUGCUACUUCUAAGGACGUUAAGGGUUACUUCAGAGCAAAACAAGCCCCACUUCUAAAACCAGGGCAGUGGCUCAAUUGUGGAAGGGAGAGCAGGGAAUGUGAAGUGUCCAAGCUUCUAGUCUCGUCUUUCAGUAGCGUGGGUACAAGUUUUCCAUUGGGGCUCUGGGGGCUAGGAGGGUGGUAAAAGUGGGAGAAACCAAAGUACUUGCGGGUAGCUAAAAACUCUGAAACCCACGCUGUGAGCGGUUCCUGCUUCUCUGAAAGGUCUGUUCUGCUUAAGGUUGUAUCAAGGUUAGUCUCUUGCUACCUACUUCUGUAGAGCAGUCUCUCGUGGCUCACCUGGGUUAGUGGCCAUGUUGCCUGUCUCCUAUUCUUCCUAACCUUGUGUGUUCUCCAGGUAGCUGAGUGAUCCAUCCGAAGUAAAAUAUUCCUCAGCUUGUCUGUAGGGGCUCCAAGUUUCAUGAAGUAAAAGCUAGUCUUGAAAACGGCCCAUUAGGGUCCUGGAUGACAGUCUCCGGGUCACUUAGACUCCGUUGUCCGCCUCCCCUCAUCUGUAUCAUCUUUGCCUUGGGUACUGGCUUCGGAGGGUGUUUUCCUGAAACUCUUACCUGAGAUCUACUUGGCUGACUCCUGUGUCCUUCAGAAGUACUUAAUUGCUCAAAUGUUAGUUGAUGAGUGUCACCGGUCUCAUUUUAAAUUGCAACUUCAACCCCUUGCAAACACUGCUUCUCAUUCCCGCGUUCCCUAACUUUAACUCUCAGGAAUAACCCUGACACCUGGAAGAUGCUCCUAGGGAUGACCCCACUCCCCACCCACAACUGUUAAUCAGGAAAUAACGGAUAUGAAAGUAGCUCUGCGAACUGAGGAGCCGUGGAGAAUGUACAAAACAGAUUCCUAAAGUAGUGCAUUCGUGUAACAAGAUUAAGAAAACGAAGGACCAACUUCAAGCUCUUGCAAGCUGGUAACCUUUACACUCGUGCAUAAAGCCUUGCUGGAGUUGACACUGAAAACUAAACAGUCGAACUUGAGUAAAACAUAUCCAAACUCCCA
Homo sapiens (human) is the source of this 2281-nucleotide long non-coding RNA. RefSeq annotates it as WDR1 antisense RNA 1. The transcript has 2 exons. Lineage: Eukaryota; Metazoa; Chordata; Mammalia; Primates; Hominidae. The record is from RefSeq and is a predicted model, not a curated record.